Molecule: non-coding RNA, 481 nt
Organism: Salmo salar (Atlantic salmon)
Lineage: Eukaryota; Metazoa; Chordata; Actinopteri; Salmoniformes; Salmonidae
Source: RefSeq, a predicted model, not a curated record
AAUCCCCAAAUCACAACAUCGGUCUACUUCCUACAGUCUGCUUCCCAAGCGGUCCCAGUAGACUCGGGAUGUUGGUCUCUGGGUUUAGGAAUUCUGUUAUGUCAUUUCCUCAUGAAGUUGAAAGUAAGUUUGUGGGCUAAUGCACGUACGAAAGGGAUGUUGAAACUCUGGCGCACAUUUCUCGGCAACAUUAGAAGUCGGGUAAAAGUAUUGAUUUGAAGGAAAGACGAGCAGACUGGCAGAGCAGGCAACAGAUGGCACACAGACAGCAGAGUUGGGGACAGAUAUGCAGGGACAGACUGGCAGAGACAGGGAGUCUCAGGGGUCAGUGCUCUAAAAUGAGUCUCUCUGGGGAGAGGAAGGAGGGGGGCCCUGCCUCUAAAAUGAGACUCUCUGGGGAACAUGACACCAAAUCUAAGAGACCAAUAAAGCAGGAGAGACCAGCCUCCCCUGUUCCCAGCUGUGUGUCCAUGAAGAGUGA